UACGGAGGGUGCAAGCGUUACUCGGAAUCACUGGGCGUAAAGAGCGCGUAGGCGGCGAUGCAAGUCAGAAGUGAAAGCCCGGGGCUCAACUCCGGGACUGCUUUUGAAACUGUGUUGCUAGAUUGCAGGAGAGGUAAGCGGAAUUCCUAGUGUAGCGGUGAAAUGCGUAGAUAUUAGGAGGAACACCAGUGGCGAAGGCGGCUUACUGGACUGUAACUGACGUUGAGGCUCGAGAGCGUGGGGAGCAAACAGG
This 253-nucleotide ribosomal RNA is filed under the name uncultured Coprococcus sp. RNAcentral describes it as "partial 16S ribosomal RNA". It matches the Rfam family "Bacterial small subunit ribosomal RNA", at positions 524 to 776 of the family's 1533-position model. Lineage: Bacteria; Bacillati; Bacillota; Clostridia; Lachnospirales; Lachnospiraceae. The record is from RNAcentral.